GGUGUCGCCCAGGCUGGCAGGUUAGCAGGCUGGCUGAUGCCAGUGGAGCCGCCAAAGCCGGACCCCGCGGCAGCAGAGGAGAGAGGAGAGGGCGCAGCGCGGUUAGGGUGCGAGGCUGAGACUCCUCCCUCGGCGCAGCUCCAGCGCAGGGAUUCCCCCCUCUCCGGCAGGCCAUGUGACCUGCGAGCUGCUGCGCGAUUGCGAGCCCCCAAAGCUGGUUUAGGGUGGGGUGGGGAGGACAAAAGAAGCCAAUUGAUGAGCAGCUGAGGAAAAGCAGGGGUCGCCCUCAAGUCAUGGGAGCUGGGAGCGUGUCCCUUCUGUGAGGGGAAAAGAAGCCAGCAUUUUAUUCCGUCAGGUACCAGACUCCUGCAGUUGGUUCCAGUACCCACCCGUCCAGUAUGCGACCCAGGCGUGAGAAAAUAUGUUAAGAGGCAGAACUAGGAGAGUAAAAGCAGGAAGACCAAUGCCCGUGUAACCAACAAAGGCACUGGCCAGUCCCAGACACUGACUUUUAUUGGCAAUCGAUUGGGAUAAAGAAAGAAGAGGAGAUAGCAGAGAAGACCAGUGCAAAGCAGAAACUUAAUUGCAAGAAGAAGUAGUGCAAAGUCACUCUGAAGGAGUGGGGGCUGCCGGAGCUGGGUCACUGCUAAGUGUGGGCCAGCAGUCCUGUUUUAUGGGAACACUACAGACUGAGCACUUCAUACAGAACAGAAACUUAUUUCUUAUUGACCUGGAGGCUAGGAAGCCUAAAAUCAAGGGACCUGUGUCUGGGAAGGGCCUUCAUUCUGCACCAUCCUGUGGUGAAAGUUAGAAGAGAGGGAGAAAGAAUGGGAAAAAAGGACCAAAGUAUCUUUUUUAUCAGGACCCCGCUCCUGCUGUAAUGAACCCACUCUAUCCAUGAAGAGCCCUCAAAGCCUAAUCAUCUCUUAAAGCUUCCGCUGCUAUUGACAACCAAGAUCCCAGAGAAACACACCCAGAUGAAAAGCCUACAUUUCCAAGCCAUUUUGCAAGGGUAGUGAGUGAGAUAAAAGAAGACAUAGUUUAGUGAAUUAUCCAGGAAAUUAUCCAGCUUUUCCUGCUGCUUAGAAUACAGAAGUGAAGGUUGGAACUUCUAUAGCCACCUUGGAGCAGAAAGGGAUCUUGCAAAGAAAGGCCCAUGUUGCAAAUGUUACAAUGACAUGACAGAAAAUCAUGGAAUAUCAGGCUACGUAACUCACUCAUGGUGGCCAUCUUUUGAUCCAUACUUCUGCCAACCAGCCAAA
Molecule: long non-coding RNA, 1262 nt
Organism: Fukomys damarensis (Damara mole-rat)
Lineage: Eukaryota; Metazoa; Chordata; Mammalia; Rodentia; Bathyergidae
Exons: 6
Source: RefSeq, a predicted model, not a curated record